RNAcentral lists this transfer RNA (69 nucleotides) under Ictidomys tridecemlineatus (thirteen-lined ground squirrel). RNAcentral describes it as "Spermophilus tridecemlineatus (thirteen-lined ground squirrel) tRNA". It matches the Rfam family "tRNA". From Rfam's summary of the family: Transfer RNA (tRNA) molecules are approximately 80 nucleotides in length. Their secondary structure includes four short double-helical elements and three loops (D, anti-codon, and T loops). Lineage: Eukaryota; Metazoa; Chordata; Mammalia; Rodentia; Sciuridae. The record is from Rfam by way of RNAcentral.
GGGGUUGUAGCUCAGUGGUAGAGUGCUUGCCUAGCACAUGUGAAGCACUGGGUUCGAUUCCCAGCACCA